UGAGGAAUAUUGGUCAAUGGGCGUAAGCCUGAACCAGCCAUCCCGCGUGCAGGAGGACGGCCCUAUGGGUUGUAAACUGCUUUUCCAGGGGGAGAAACUUGCGCACGUGUUGCGCAAUUGACGGUACUCUGGGAAUAAGCAUCGGCUAACUCCGUGCCAGCAGCCGCGGUAAUACGGAGGAUGCGAGCGUUAUCCGGAUUCAUUGGGUUUAAAGGGUGCGUAGGCGGACUAUUAAGUCAGUGGUGAAGUCCUGCAGCUUAACUGCAGAACUGCCAUUGAUACUGAUAGCCUUGAGUUUGGUUAAGGUAGGCGGAAUGUGUAAUGUAGCGGUGAAAUGCUUAGAUAUUACACAGAACACCAAUUGCGUAGGCAGCUUACUGAGCCGACACUGACGCUGAGGCACGAAAGCGUGGGGAUCGAACAG
This 424-nucleotide ribosomal RNA is filed under the name uncultured bacterium. RNAcentral's name for it is "bacterial SSU rRNA". It matches the Rfam family "Bacterial small subunit ribosomal RNA", at positions 355 to 775 of the family's 1533-position model. The record is from RNAcentral.